CAUCAUAGGUCUUACGGUAGUAGCUGCUGAUAUAUGCUUCUAAACCACUUCCUUGACCUCAAAUUGGAGUAUGCAAGCUUUUAUUUUGCCAGCCUACCCUGCAAUUUUGACUGGCCUACGGGAGGGCUCUGCUGGUACCUUGCAAAUGACAAUGUGAAGAAACUGGCAGGCUCAGAAAG
This is a long non-coding RNA of Lagopus leucura (white-tailed ptarmigan), 179 nucleotides long. RefSeq lists it as uncharacterized. NCBI's taxonomy places the organism in Eukaryota, Metazoa, Chordata, Aves, Galliformes, Phasianidae. The transcript is spliced from 3 exons. The record is from RefSeq and is a predicted model, not a curated record.